CUAGGAAAUUCUUUUGGGCAAAGAGCUGCCGCUUUGUAUCAUGUGAUCCCAGUGACCUAGACCAAGCUUAUUGGAACUUUCAAAUUUAAUCAGCUAUAAGCUGGCUUUCUAUUACUUUUAAGAUGAGGAAUCUGUGGGACUUGGCCAAGGUCACAUACCUAAUACAUGGUAACGUGGAGAUGGAACCCAAGGAUGGUUGAUUCCAGCCUGUACUCUUGACAGAAUGCACAAUGCAGAAGUUCAGUGUUUCAGGAAUUUGGCAGAAACUGGCCCAGUGAAAGCAGGUCUUACAGCAUUCCCUUCUGCUCAAAGGGAGAACUGCCCAGUCUCCUUUCUAAGGCGAAUCAUGCCACCCGCACAUUGUCAAUCAUAUUGCUGCCCGUCACCUCUGAAUAAUUCUUUUUCUUUUUAUCAGUUAACGCAGCAUUUGUUAUCUAACACAAUUCCCAAAGGUCUUCUGAGCACUUCCUGGAGUUGUUAUGUGUGUGAGUCAGGAUAUCAGCAAACGUAUUUGGAGGAGGUUAACAAUUUGUUCUAAUAAAUUCAUCAAUUAAGCUGCCAGAUGGAGAUGUGUGUGUUGGCCUCCACCACAUCAUCAACAUCUCUGCUCAAAUUCUAGUGAGCUCUGAGUGCUCCAUUACCCAUUGCAUUCUGCCCCAUUUGAUCCAGGCGCGUUUGCCACUUUGAUGCCUUCACAGUACAAACAAGGCUCGAAGGAUGUGAGACACAAAAUGAUCAGAAGGUAAACUAUUACCAAGAUGCAUCACCAUGUAUACACUAACGAUCUCUUGAGAGUUUUAGACAAUAAAUAGAAGAAACCACUAAACAAGUAGAAGCUUAGAGAGAGUGGAGAUAUUACUCAUUUCAAAGCAAUGAUUAAGAAGUGGAUGCUUUUUACUAGAAAAUGCUUUUUUGGAGCCUGACAACAAAUAAUUUUUGAAUAAAAAUGAGGUAAAUGUUUUCAAGACUUCAUAAAUUUAAAAACUCAUUUAAAAGUUUAUAAAAGUUUUUGUUGUGAAAUGCACAUACUAAUAUAUAUGCAUAUAGUUUAUUGAACAAUAAUAAAAUAUACCCUUCCACACAUUAUUAGACUAAGAGAUAAAAUAUUACCAGUAUUUUAGGAGCUCCAAGAGUGCACUUCAACACAAAUCUUUCUCUUAAACCCUGAAAUUUGUGUUAUUCUGUUGUUGUUACUAAUAAUUCUUACCUACUUGUGUCCAUGACUAUACAUUCCUUAGUUUUUCCUAUUUUUCAAAUUUAUAUAAAUGGACUUUGCUGAAGGAAGUCAUCUGUGAUUUCAGUCUUUCAGUCAAUUACGUGAUUAGGAUAUUCAUCCAGGUGGAUGUAUCUUACAGUAUUCCUUUUGAUUAGAAUGGAGUAUUACAUUGUGUGCAUAUAAUAAUUUUAUCUAUACCAGUGUUAGGAAACAUAUAGGUUGAUUCCUGUGCUUUGGUAUAAAGAAGAAUCCGCUGAGGAACAUUCCUGUAUUUGUGUCCUAGUGCUAUGGAAUACAAUGGCUGUUUUGUUUGUCACCGUUAGUAGUAAUACGAAUUUAUUUUCUAAAAGUGUUGUGCUGGUUUCAUACUGUCGCAGUUUGGAGUUCUCAAUACUUCACAUCAUCUACAACCCAACAUACUGUCUAAUUUUGUAAAUGUGAAUGGUGUGAAAUCACUUACUAUUGUGAUUUUAAUUUACCUUUCUUUGAUUAACCACGAGGUAUGUGGUAAUGUA
Long non-coding RNA from Equus caballus (horse), 1731 nucleotides. The record is from Ensembl. NCBI's taxonomy places the organism in Eukaryota, Metazoa, Chordata, Mammalia, Perissodactyla, Equidae.